This is a long non-coding RNA of Heterocephalus glaber (naked mole-rat), 421 nucleotides long. The record is from Ensembl. NCBI's taxonomy places the organism in Eukaryota, Metazoa, Chordata, Mammalia, Rodentia, Bathyergidae.
GCUGGAAUGGGCAUAACCAAAGCUUCCUGGAAGAGCAGAUCACUGAAGAAAGAAACUGUGAAACAGUGCCGUUAUUAGAGGUGAUGUUCAGAAUGGACAACCACAUGGGCAAGGCAUCCAAGCCUUAGGCUGGAGCUGGGAUCUGGACCACCUGAGGGAGCAACACAUUAACUCUUUGUCUGCUGGACCCUGAGAAGCCCGGCAGGAUGAGCGACCCCAGGGAAGUGCCCAGAAUGGUCAGGACAGUGGGGCAUACUCUUUCCCAACAGCCUUAGGGGAGGGUAUGAUGCUCCCCAGCUUUUGCAGAUGAAAAAGAAGCACGAACAUGAAAGCACUUGUCUAAGGUCCCCGAGCUGGUGAGAAGCAGACACAAGGUUCCAACCCAGGUGGUUUGCAUGUGGAAUCUUGUUCUGGACGUGGC